Molecule: ribosomal RNA, 253 nt
Filed under: uncultured bacterium
Lineage: Bacteria
Description: partial 16S ribosomal RNA
Rfam family: Bacterial small subunit ribosomal RNA
Source: RNAcentral
UACUUAGGGGGCUAGCGUUGUCCGGAAUCAUUGGGCGUAAAGCGCGUGUAGGCGGCCCGGUAAGUCCGCUGUGAAAGUCGGGGGCUCAACCCUCGGAUGCCGGUGGAUACUGUCGGGCUUGAGUACGGAAGAGGCGAGUGGAAUUCCUGGUGUAGCGGUGAAAUGCGCAGAUAUCAGGAGGAACACCUAUUGCGAAGGCAGCUCGCUGGGACGUGACCGACGCUGAGACGCGAAAGCGUGGGGAGCAAACAGG